UACGGAGGGGGCUAGCGUUGUUCGGAAUUACUGGGCGUAAAGCGCACGUAGGCGGAUUGGAAAGUCAGGGGUGAAAUCCCGGGGCUCAACCCCGGAACUGCCUUUGAAACUCCCAGUCUGGAGGUCGAGAGAGGUGAGUGGAAUUCCGAGUGUAGAGGUGAAAUUCGUAGAUAUUCGGAGGAACACCAGUGGCGAAGGCGGCUCACUGGCUCGAUUCUGACGCUGAGGUGCGAAAGCGUGGGGAGAAAACAGG
This 253-nucleotide ribosomal RNA is filed under the name uncultured bacterium. Its description in RNAcentral is "partial 16S ribosomal RNA". It matches the Rfam family "Bacterial small subunit ribosomal RNA", at positions 524 to 776 of the family's 1533-position model. The record is from RNAcentral.